CAGCCGCCGCGGUAAUGCGGAGGGCGCGAGCGUUACCCGGAUUUACUGGGCGUAAAGGGCGUGUAGGCGGCCUGGGGCGUCCCAUGUGAAAGGCCACGGCUCAACCGUGGAGGAGCGUGGGAUACGCUCAGGCUAGAGGGUGGGAGAGGGUAGUGGAAUUCCCGGAGUAGCGGUGAAAUGCGCAGAUACCGGGAGGAACGCCGAUGGCGAAGGCAGCCACCUGGUCCACUUCUGACGCUGAGGCGCGAAAGCGUGGGGAGCAAACCGGAUUAGAUACCCCAGUAGUCCCUGUCUCUUAUAC
Molecule: ribosomal RNA, 301 nt
Filed under: uncultured bacterium
Lineage: Bacteria
Description: partial 16S ribosomal RNA
Rfam family: Bacterial small subunit ribosomal RNA
Source: RNAcentral